RNAcentral lists this small nuclear RNA (107 nucleotides) under Saimiri boliviensis boliviensis (Bolivian squirrel monkey). The record is from RNAcentral. Lineage: Eukaryota; Metazoa; Chordata; Mammalia; Primates; Cebidae.
GUGUUUGCUUUGGAAGCACAUAUACUAAAAUUGGAACGAUACAGAGAGGAUUAGCAUAGCCCCUGCGCAAGGAUGACACGCAAAUUUGUGAAGUCUUCCAUAUUUGA